RNAcentral lists this ribosomal RNA (1119 nucleotides) under freshwater metagenome. RNAcentral describes it as "bacterial LSU rRNA". It matches the Rfam family "Bacterial large subunit ribosomal RNA", at positions 943 to 2057 of the family's 2925-position model. The record is from RNAcentral.
ACCGUAUCAAACUCAGAAUACCGACAAGUAUGAACCAAGCAGUGAGACAGCGGAUGCUAAGGUCCGUUGUCGAGAGGGAAAGAGCCCAGACCAUCAGCUAAGGUCCCAAAAUCGUCGCUAAGUGGUGAAGGUUGUGGAAUUACUUUGACAUCCAGGAGGUUGGCUUAGAAGCAGCCAUCCUUUAAAGAAAGCGUAAUAGCUCACUGGACUAGUGAUUCUGCGCCGAAAAUACAACGGGGCUAAAGUGACGUACCGAAGCUGUGGACUUUCGAGUGGUAGGAGAGCAUUGAGUUUGCCGAUGAAGGCGUACCGUAAGGAGCGUUGGAGGUCCCUCAAGAGCUGAUGCUGAAAUGAGUAGCGAUAAGAAAUGUGAGAAUCAUUUCCGCCGUAAAUCUAAGGGUUCCUGGGCCAGGUGACUCCGCCCAGGGUUAGUCGGAUACUAAGAUGAGGCCGAAAGGCGUAAUCGAUGUCCAACAGGUUAAUAUUCCUGUACUUAGUAAAAAUCGUUUGACUAGAUGGAAUGACGGAGAAAGGUAGUGAAUCCACCUGUUGGUUGGUGGUUUAAGUGUGUAGGGGGUCAGAUAGGCAAAUCCGUCUGGCAUAACUCCGAGGCACGAAUACGAGCGCAAGCGAAGUUCAUGAUCCUAAGCUUCCCAGAAAAGUUUCGCUAGGAGAUUUUUAUUAAUCCGUACCAUAAACCGACACAGGUAGAUGAGGAGAGAAUCCUCAGGCGCUUGGGAGAACUCUAGUUAAGGAACUCUGCAAAUUGGUGCCGUAACUUCGGGAUAAGGCACGCCUUUGAUGGUGACAUCACUUGCUGAUGUAGCUAUUGAGGGUCGCAGUGAAAAGGGGGUAGCGACUGUUUAUCAAAAACACAGGUCUAUGCAGACACGCAAGUGGAAGUAUAUGGGCUGACGCCUGCCCGGUGCUGGAAGGUUAAAAGGAUUGGUUAGGGUUAAACCGAAGCCGAGAAUUGAAGCCCCAGUAAACGGCGGCCGUAACUAUAACGGUCCUAAGGUAGCGAAAUUCCUAGUCGGGUAAGUUCCGACCUGCACGAAUGGCGUAACGACUUCCCCACUGUCUCAACUGGAGACCCAGCGAAAUUGCAUUACGAGUAAA